AUUGAACGCUGGCGGCAUGCCUUACACAUGCAAGUCGAACGGCAGCACGGGGGCAACCCUGGUGGCGAGUGGCGAACGGGUGAGUAAUGCAUCGGAACGUGCCCCGUAGCGGGGGAUAACCAGUCGAAAGACUGGCUAAUACCGCAUACGCUCCACGGAGGAAAGCAGGGGAUCGCAAGACCUUGCACUAUGGGAGCGGCCGAUGCCCGAUUAGCUAGUUGGUGAGGUAAAGGCUCACCAAGGCGACGAUCGGUAGCUGGUUUGAGAGAACGACCAGCCACACUGGGACUGAGACACGGCCCAGACUCCUACGGGAGGCGGCAGUGGGGAAUUUUGGACAAUGGGCGCAAGCCUGAUCCAGCCAUGCCGCGUGCGGGAUGAAGGCCUCGG
RNAcentral lists this ribosomal RNA (390 nucleotides) under uncultured bacterium. RNAcentral's name for it is "bacterial SSU rRNA". It matches the Rfam family "Bacterial small subunit ribosomal RNA", at positions 29 to 420 of the family's 1533-position model. The record is from RNAcentral.